GAUGAACGCUGGCGGCGUGCCUAAUACAUGCAAGUCGAGCGAACGGACGAGAAGCUUGCUUCUCUGAUGUUAGCGGCGGACGGGUGAGUAACACGUGGAUAACCUACCUAUAAGACUGGGAUAACUUCGGGAAACCGUAGCUAAUACCGGAUAAUAUUUUGAACCGCAUGGUUCAAAAGUGAAAGACGGUCUUGCUGUCACUUAUAGAUGGAUCCGCGCUGCAUUAGCUAGUUGGUAAGGUAACGGCUUACCAAGGCAACGAUGCAUAGCCGACCUGAGAGGGUGAUCGGCCACACUGGAGCUGAGACACGGUCCAGACUCCUACAGGAGGCAGCAGCAGGGAAUCUUCCGCGAUGGGCGAAAGCCUGACGGAGCAACGCCGCGUGAGUGAUGAAGGUCUUCGGAUCGUAAAACUCUGUUAUUAGGGAAGAACAUAUGUGUAAGUAACUGUGCACAUCUUGACGGUACCUAAUCAGAAAGCCACGGCUAACUACGUG
Molecule: ribosomal RNA, 497 nt
Filed under: uncultured bacterium
Lineage: Bacteria
Description: partial 16S ribosomal RNA
Rfam family: Bacterial small subunit ribosomal RNA
Source: RNAcentral